This 165-nucleotide small RNA is filed under the name Streptomyces sp. RNAcentral's name for it is "c-di-AMP sequence". It matches the Rfam family "c-di-AMP riboswitch aptamer (ydaO/yuaA leader)". From Rfam's summary of the family: This family represents a conserved RNA structure found upstream of the ydaO and yuaA genes in Bacillus subtilis and related genes in other bacteria. The ydaO/yuaA element is thought to act as a genetic "off" switch for the ydaO and yuaA genes in its native state. It is believed that the element may be triggered during osmotic shock leading to activation of ydaO, a predicted amino acid transporter gene, and members of the yuaA-yubG operon which code for KtrA and KtrB K+ transporters. Lineage: Bacteria; Bacillati; Actinomycetota; Actinomycetes; Kitasatosporales; Streptomycetaceae. The record is from RNAcentral. RNAcentral also lists the same sequence under 1 other name.
GGGCAGCCAUCGCCGAGUCCCCGUCAGGCGCGAGCCUGGGGAGCCGGGGACCCACCGUCCCUGGGGUGAAUCGGAUGCCCGCGCUCCGUCCGGGGCGUGGCGUCCGUAGGAGACCUUCCUGCUCCGAACCCGUCAGCUAACCCGGUAGGCGAGAAGGAAGGAAAG